Molecule: long non-coding RNA, 1440 nt
Filed under: Mus musculus (house mouse)
Lineage: Eukaryota; Metazoa; Chordata; Mammalia; Rodentia; Muridae
Description: long non-coding RNA chr9:103433441-103434881
Source: RNAcentral
UACUUACUAUGUGUUAGUAAUUGGUCUCUGCCAGCAUGUUGAGGUGAGUAUAGUCUUUGAGCAGCUACAGAGCAUUGCCUUGUUUGGGGUUAAUGUCAUUUAUUUAGAUGUUCCCUGUUGGUGGACAUUUUGGUUGUUUCCAGAUUUCCCCUAUUUUCUACAGCAGUGUAAAGAGGAGCUCUAGAUGCUUGCAUUCCAUCCAAGAAGGUAUCCCUGAGGAUAAAUUCUUGAGAUAAACUGUAUUUACGUGAAGACAGAGUCUUGUUAUGUGCCGUCCCAUGAACUCCCAAUCCCCCUGCCUCAACCCCCAAGUGCCGAGGGGACAUGUGUACAAAUGAUCCUUCAGAGAACCUGUAACCCUGGCCUGGGAGGCAGUGCCAGGUCCCCACACCUUCUUCAGACAAGGGGCUUUCUUGUGUUUAUUCACUUUACUUUCAUGUGUAAAUGUUUUGCCUACUUGGUGCCCAUGGAGGUCAGAAGAUUGCAUUGACUCCUUGAAAAUGGAGUUACAGAAGUCUGGAAACUAUCAUGUGGGUGUUGGAAAAUGUACCCAGGUCCUCUGCAAGAGCAACAAGUACUCUCAACUGCUGAGCCACCUCUCCAGCCCCAGGUUUUCUAUCUGGAUCUUUAUAUCUGAUAGUCAUAGUUUUCCUUUAAAUUUUUUUUUUUUUUACAUUAUGCUAUUUACUUGUAUGUGGGGGGGCAUGUUUGUGUGGGUGCACACAUGCCACAGCUUAUGCGGUGCACAUGUACAAUGAUGACUCACGUGGUGGUCAGAGGAUACCACAGGAGCCAGUUCUCCUCCCACCACGUGGGACUGAACUCAGGUCAUUAGGCUUGGUGGUGAGUGCCUUCACUGCUGGGCCAUGUCUCUGGCCUCAGUACCCUUUUCAUUGUACAAACCAGUGCAGCUGCAGCUGUGAACACAGGGGGAGCUCUGGGUGCUGCACGCAGGGGCACAGGUCCCCUGCUGGUGGAUGAUAAAAUGAGGUCACUCUCUUUUUUCAGUACAUUCUGAUGUGCUGUCUCUGAGCCAAUGCUGCAGGCAGAGAGGCCAAGGAAACCUUUAUGGUCCCAGGCCCUGAGGAGGUGAGACUCAGUUACUCAUUUAGGGUACAGGAUAAGAUUCAACUAUGUUGACCCCCAGGUCUUGAAAUCUUGGCUCCAUUUCUGGAUUGGGAGAGCAUGCUAACAUUUUGAAAUAUGGUGAAGAUUUUCACACUCAAAAUUUAUAAAUUUAUGGGGCUUGAGAGAUGACUUAGUGGUUAAGAGCAUUUGUGGCUCUUGCAGAGGGCCCAGGCUUGGUUUCCAGUACUCACACAGGGGCUAAUGACCAUCUGUCACUCCAAGGAGAUUUGACACCCUCUUCUGACAUCCAAGGGCAUCAGGUAUGCAAGUGGUACACACACAUAUGCAGGUAAAGCACCCACACACACACAU